AACGCACCUUGCGCUCCUUGGUAUUCCGAGGAGCAUGCCUGUUUGAGUGUCAUGGAAUCAUCAACUCUUUUCCUUCUUUGUUGAAGGGAUUGAGCUUGGACUUGGAGGUUUUAUGCCGGCCUUUGUGGGUCGGCUCCUCUUGAAUGCAUUAGCUUGAACCUUUGCUGUAUCAGCUGUUCGGUGUGAUAAUUGUCUACGCCGUCACUGUGAAGCAUUACAUUUUUGUGGGGUUCAGCUUCUAACCGUCCUGUAAAAGGGACAACAUCAUAAUUGACCUCUGACCUCAAAUCAGGUAGGAUUACCCGCUGAACUUAA
This 315-nucleotide ribosomal RNA is filed under the name uncultured fungus. Its description in RNAcentral is "eukaryotic LSU rRNA". The stretch from base 1 to 52 matches the Rfam family "5.8S ribosomal RNA", at positions 103 to 154 of the family's 154-position model. The record is from RNAcentral. Lineage: Eukaryota; Fungi.